This 414-nucleotide transfer-messenger RNA is filed under the name Patescibacteria group. RNAcentral's name for it is "GWA2-43-14 sp000999095 Standard tmRNA". It matches the Rfam family "transfer-messenger RNA". Rfam says of the family: Bacterial tmRNA, also known as 10Sa RNA or SsrA, is named for its dual tRNA and mRNA-like properties. Its role is to liberate the mRNA from a stalled ribosome. The record is from RNAcentral.
GGGGAUGCCAUGAUCGACGGGAUUGUACCUUAAAAACUGCAAGCCGAGGUGAUUGUACUCGCUAAACCAAUCAAAAUAUAACUGUCGAUAAUACCGACGAGCUGGAAGAAUUAGUUGAGUAUGGCGAGAGUCUUCUUGCCAGAGCUCGAGAAGCUUCCGGUGCCCGAAACUUCGCAUUCGCGACAGCCUAAGGCCAUCAACUCUGUCUUUCUUCGGUGGGAUAAGAGCUUGGUGUAAACACAGCCGGAGUGCCCCCUGAUAAUUGACUGAUACCGGGGGAAAGACUAAGUCUUACUCUUACUGUUGAUUGUCUGUUGGGACAACAGCAGGAGGAAAUUCUUACAACAGACUAAGCUUGUAGAUGUUUCUAAGAUGCGUCUUCGGACUCCGGAUCACCUCCGGACAUCUCCACUA